ACAAAGACACUAAUAGUUUCCUUUUUGCAGUGCAUGGUUUCUUUCUUUCUUUUUUCUUUUUUUUUUUAAAAAAAAAAAUCUUUGUCUUUCGUCGGUCUCAGGGAUCUCCAAAUCCAGACAAAGAAGGGUCUCUCACAUGUUCUUUGUUAAAAGUCCAUAACCUUUGAGUUACAUCAGAGUCACUACUCACUUCAUUUUCUUGAAAAUCACAGUACUGGUAGUUGCAACCCUGUAGCUUUGUCCUUCUACUCUCUUCUCCACUCUACAGUAAAAAAAAUUAUCGUUUUCUCUUUUUUUUAUCAGUAUUUUCCUUUGGAUACAAAAGAUCGUGCGAGAUAAAUUUGGAAGGUAGAAAAGCAUUGGUUUCUCUUCAAGUUGUGGUGUUAAAGUUCUGAGAAGAGCAUUUUUCAAGGUGGUAUAGUUUUUUGCAACAUUUUUCUCAGUUUUUGAUAUCACUCAGUCACUCACUGAUGGGUUUGGAAGUGUUUGGUUCUGUUCUAGUUCUGACACUCUUCUUGAAGCACUUGGCAUCUCAGCAACCAAACACUGAUGAUUUCUUUGUGUCAGAGUUCUUGAAGAAGAUGGAUUUAGCAUCCUCCCAGGUCUACAACUUUUCUUCAGCUUCUGUUGUUCAUGGCAUGGGGUUUCAUGUGAUGCCAAGAGAGAACAUGUUGUUGGGUUAGUCUUUUCUGGCAUGGGAAUUUCUGGUCCUGUUCCAGAUACUACCAUAGGAAAGCUCAGCAAGCUUCAAGCUUUGGACCUUAGCCACAACAAAAUCACGGACUUGCCUUCUGAUUUCUGGAGUUUUGGCUUGCUCAAGAGCCUUAACCUCUCCUCCAAUCAGAUUUCUGGUUCAUUGACUAACAACAUUGGAAACUUUGGUUUGCUACAAGUGUUUGACUUGUCCAGCAACAAUUUCUCUGGGCAAAUUCCUGAAGCUAUUAGUUCACUGAUGAGUCUGAAAGUCCUCAAACUUGACCACAACAGGUUCCAGCAAAGAAUACCUUCUGGGAUUCUCAAGUGUCACUCUCUAGUUUCCAUUGACCUUUCUUCAAAUCAACUAAGUGGGCAGUUCCAGAUGGUUUUGGUGAUGCUUUUCCUAAUCUCAUUUCCUUGAACCUUGCUGGGAAUAGUAUUAAUGGCAGUGAUUUAGAUGUUUCUGGGUUGAAGUCCAUUGUGAGUCUCAACAUAUCAGGCAAUUCCUUUAAUGGUUCUGUGAUGAGUAUGUUUCAUGGAAGGCUUGAGGUCAUGGACCUUAGCAGAAACCAAUUUGAAGGUCACAUUUCUCAGGUACACUCCAUCUCUAACUACAAUUGGUCUCAUUUAGUUUAUUUGGAUUUGUCAGAGAAUCAGCUGGUUGGGGAGAUUUUCCAAAAUUUGAAUGAAUCCAAGAAUCUAAAGCACCUUAAUCUUGCUCACAAUAGAUUUAGCAGACAGAAAUUCCCCAAGAUUGAAAUGCUCUCGAGAUUGGAAUAUCUGAACUUGUCCAAAACUAGUCUGAUUGGUUACAUUCCUGCUGAAAUCUCAAAACUUAGUAAUUUGAGUGCACUUGAUGUUUCUAUGAAUCAUCUUAUAGGGAAAAUCCCUUUACUAAGCAAUAAAAACCUCCAAGUUCUUGACCUUUCAAACAACAAUUUGAGUGGAGAUGUCCCUUCAUCAGUCAUAGAAAAACUUCCUUUAAUGGAGAAAUACAACUUCUCUUAUAAUAACUUAACCUUCUGUGCUUUGGAAAUCAAACCAGCUAUCCUCCUAACAGCAUUCCAUGGAUCAGUGAACAGUUGCCCAAUUGCUGCAAACCCAAGUCUUCUCAAAAAAGAGCCACUCAAGAUAAGGGAAUGAAGCUAGCUCUGGCGUUGACCCUCUCAAUGAUAUGCUUGGUUGCUGGGCUUUUGCUUCUAGCAUUUGGUUGCCUUAAGAAGACAAAACCAUGGCCUGUUAAGCAAACUUCAUACAAAGAAGAACACAACAUGUCAGGUCCAUUUUCAUUCCACACUGAUUCAACCACUUGGGUGGCUGACGUUAAGCAAGCGACAUCUGUCCCAGUAGUAAUCUUCGACAAGCCACUGUUAAAUAUUACAUUCGCAGAUCUAUUGGCUGCAACUUCAAAUUUUGAUAGGGGUACCCUUUUGGCUGAAGGAAAAUUUGGGCCUGUUUAUAGAGGUUUUCUACCUGGUGGUAUUCAAGUAGCAGUUAAAGUUCUGGUAGUUGGAUCUACUCUGACAGAUAAAGAAGCUGCAAGAGAGCUUGAGUAUCUUGGUAGAAUCAAGCACCCCAAUCUUGUUCCUCUAACUGGAUACUGUGUAGCUGGGGAUCAG
RNA transcript from Glycine soja, 2315 nucleotides. It is a transcript of the gene named probable LRR receptor-like serine/threonine-protein kinase At2g24230, with no coding region annotated. The record is from RefSeq and is a predicted model, not a curated record. The transcript has a single exon. NCBI's taxonomy places the organism in Eukaryota, Viridiplantae, Streptophyta, Magnoliopsida, Fabales, Fabaceae.